Long non-coding RNA from Lepisosteus oculatus (spotted gar), 856 nucleotides. RefSeq lists it as uncharacterized. Lineage: Eukaryota; Metazoa; Chordata; Actinopteri; Semionotiformes; Lepisosteidae. The record is from RefSeq and is a predicted model, not a curated record.
UUGUUGUUGUUUUUUGCAAAGCUGCUUUGUAUAGGUAGAGCAGGUUUUUUUUUCCCAGGUCGUGAAACAUCCCAAACGCAGGGAAUAGAGCAGAAUACAGAGAAAAGUGCAAAAAUGAAUUUGUACAGAUUCAUUUUUGACUCCGACUUACCACAUAGGAGGUAAUCUUCUGCUUUCUGUUCUUUUUUUUUUAAUUCCGGAAGUCAAGCGGUAUUCUUCCUUUGCUCGUAUUUUGUGCAACUUGUUUAACUUGCGAUUCCCUGUACUUUCCCCUCAGAUAAAGCUGAGGGGAGACGAGGAGUCACCACUUUCGACGCCAGACGACUGAUUCGGUCCAGUACGGCUGUAGCAGCCCAGUUUAAUCCCAGUUCCUACAGACAAUCAGCCGGCGCUCGGCUGCCUUGUCGUCCUGUGCGUUACCUACAGAUACAGGUGUCUAUUGUGCAUGUAAUUAAAAUCAUCCUUAACCGGAACAAUGGGACAGGAGACGGACACAGGAGCGCUGUGGGAAGAGCUCUGGAGCAGCCGAAGACGGAGCACGCCGUUAAGCCCCAGGUAACGGCUGUGGCUGGCUGCACACGAGAGCUCUGCCUCGGCGGACCACACGGCCACCCCGAGGUCCUCAAAUGCAAUGAAAAGCCUUUUAGGACUGGCCUGGAAGAAUACCCACCGCCUGCUUCUAAACAGCGUCUUACUUAUUCAUCCAGCAAGGAACCAACCCCAAACCGCCCAAGUAUUCCGGUGCCAUCUGAGAAAUGAUUUCCACAAUUCACAGUUCACCAAGGUUAGCUUCUGCACCGAAAGACACUGAAUUCCGUGCGACUCGUUUUUAUGCCAAUAAAAUAUUGAACUAAAA